This 443-nucleotide ribosomal RNA is filed under the name uncultured bacterium. Its description in RNAcentral is "partial 16S ribosomal RNA". It matches the Rfam family "Bacterial small subunit ribosomal RNA", at positions 338 to 795 of the family's 1533-position model. The record is from RNAcentral.
CCUACGGGUGGCAGCAGUGGGGAAUAUUGGACAAUGGGCGCAAGCCUGACCCAGCAACGCCGCGUGAAGGAAGAAGGCUCUCGGGUUGUAAACUUCUUUUAUCGGGGACGAAGCAAGUAACGGUACCUGAUGAAUAAGCCACGGCUACCUACGUGCCAGCAGCCGCGGUAAUACGUAGGGGGCGAGCGUUAUCCGGAUUUACUGGGUGUAAAGGGCGUGUAGGCGGGAAAGCAAGUCAGAUGUGAAAACCAUGGGCUCAACCUGUGGCCUGCAUUUGAAACUGUUUUUCGUGAGUACUGGAGAGGCAGACGGAAUUCCGAGUGUAGCGGUGAAAUGCGUAGAUAUUAGGAGGAACACCAGUGGCGAAGGCGGUCUGCUGGACAGCAACUGACGCUGAGGCGCGAAAGCGUGGGGAGCAAACAGGAUUAGAUACCCCUGUAGUC